UCCUACGGGGCGCAGCAGUGGGGAAUAUUGCACAAUGGGGGAAACCCUGAUGCAGCAACGCCGCGUGAGUGAUGACGGCCUUCUGGUUGUAAAGCUCGAUCAGCAGGGAAGAAAAUGACGGUACCUGAGUAAGAAGCCCCGGCUAACUACGUGCCAGCAGCCGCGGUAAUACGUAGGGGGCAAGCGUUAUCCGGAUUUACUGGGUGUAAAGGGAGCGUAGACGGCAGUGCAAGUCUGGAGUGAAAGGCGGGGGCUCAACCCCCG
RNAcentral lists this ribosomal RNA (264 nucleotides) under uncultured bacterium. Its description in RNAcentral is "partial 16S ribosomal RNA". It matches the Rfam family "Bacterial small subunit ribosomal RNA", at positions 337 to 618 of the family's 1533-position model. The record is from RNAcentral.